This 1224-nucleotide ribosomal RNA is filed under the name metagenome. RNAcentral's name for it is "SSU rRNA". It matches the Rfam family "Eukaryotic small subunit ribosomal RNA", at positions 493 to 1774 of the family's 1831-position model. The record is from RNAcentral.
CUCAUGGUUUCACGGUAUUGCAAUGAGAACAAUUUAAAACCCUUAGCGAGAAUCAAGUGGAGGACAAGUCUGGUGCCAGCACCCGCGGUAAUUCCAGCUCCACUAGCGUAUAUUAAAGUUGUUGCAGUUAAAAAGCUCGUAGUUGAACCUCUGUCUGGGGCUAGUUUUGGCUUUGGUCAGGCUAGUUCUAGGCAUCCGCCUACAAGACUUAGAGGGCAUUCAGUUGUUCACUAGGAGGAGUAGGCAUUUUACUUUGAAAAAAUUAGAGUGUUUAAGGCAGGCAAUCGCCCGCAUAUAUUAGCAUGGAAUAAUAGAAUAGGACACUUUUCCAUUUCGUUGGUUAUUGGAAUCGUGUAAUGAUUAAUAGGGACAGUUGUGGGCAUUUGUAUUUAAUUGUCAGAGGUGAAAUUCUUGGAUUUAUUAAAGACAAACUAACGCGAAAGCAUUUGCCAAGGAUGUUUUCAUUAAUCAAGAACGAAAGUUAGGGGAUCAAAGACGAUCAGAUACCGUCCUAGUCUUAACUAUAAACUAUUCCGACUCAAUGUUUGACUGGCUUAUAUAACCAGUUGAGCGUUGUAUGAGAAAUCAAAGUCUUUAGGUUCUGGGGGGAGUAUGGUUGCAAAGCUGAAACUUAAAGGAAUUGACGGAAGAGCACAACCAGGAGUGGAUUCUGCGGCUUAAUUUGACUCAACACGGGGAAACUUACCAGGUUAAAACAAUAGUGGGAUUGACAGUUUGAGAGCGCUCUCUUGAUUGGUUGGGUGGUGGUGCAUGGCCGUUCUUAGUUGGUGGAGUGAUUUGUCUGCUUAAUUGCGUUAACGAACGAGACCUUAACCUGCUUACUAGACUGGCGAUCAUCAAUCGUUAGCUCUUCUUAGAGGGACUUUGGUUGUUUUAACUCCAAGGAAGUCUGAGGCAAUAACAGGUCUGUGAUGCCCUUAGAUAUCCUGGGCCGCACGCGUCAUACAAUGACUAGUUCAGAAAGUUUUCUCCUGACCCGAAAGGGGAUGGGUAAUCUUGAUAAUACUAGUCGUGUUAGGGAUCGAUCUUUGCAAUUAUAGAUCUUGAACGAGGAAUUCCUAGUAAGUGCGGUUCAUCAGACCGUACUGAUUACGUCCCUGCUCUUUGUACACACCGCCCGUCGCUUCUACCGAGUGGGUGGUCCGGUGAGAUAAUUGAACUUCGCAGGUAACUGAGAGGAAAGAUUAUCAAACCUAUCCACCU